GAUGAACGCUAGCGGCAGGCCUAAUACAUGCAAGCCGAGGGGCAGCAUCAGCUUCGGCUGGAUGGCGACCGGCGCACGGGUGAGUAACGCGUACAUAACCUGCCCGGAACUGGGGGAUAAGCGUUGGAAACGGCGUCUAAGACCCCAUGGUUCCGAGAGGGGGCAUCCCCUUUCGGAUAAAGGUUACGGUUCCGGAUGGAUGUGCGUUGGAUUAGCUUGAUGGUGGGGUAACGGCCCACCAUGGCGACGAUCCAUAGGGGGCGUGAGAGCGUGGUCCCCCACACGGGUACUGAGACACGGACCCGACUCCUACGGGAGGCAGCAGUAAGGAAUAUUGGGCAAUGGAUGAGAGUCUGACCCAGCCAUGCCGCGUGCGGGAUGAAGGCCCUCUGGGUCGUAAACCGCUUUUAUACGGGAAGAAAAAGUCCCACUUGUGGGAUCGUGACGGUACCGUACGAAUAAGCACCGGCUAACUCCG
RNAcentral lists this ribosomal RNA (478 nucleotides) under uncultured Bacteroidota bacterium. RNAcentral's name for it is "bacterial SSU rRNA". It matches the Rfam family "Bacterial small subunit ribosomal RNA", at positions 28 to 505 of the family's 1533-position model. The record is from RNAcentral. Lineage: Bacteria; Pseudomonadati; Bacteroidota.